RNAcentral lists this ribosomal RNA (501 nucleotides) under uncultured bacterium. RNAcentral describes it as "partial 16S ribosomal RNA". It matches the Rfam family "Bacterial small subunit ribosomal RNA", at positions 30 to 523 of the family's 1533-position model. The record is from RNAcentral.
AUUGAACGCUGGCGGCAGGCUUAACACAUGCAAGUCGAGCGGUGAUGAGGUGCUUGCACCUUAUCUUAGCGGCGGACGGGUGAGUAAUGCUUAGGAAUCUGCCUAUUAGUGGGGGACAACAUUCCGAAAGGAAUGCUAAUACCGCAUACGUCCUACGGGAGAAAGCAGGGGAUCUUCGGACCUUGCGCUAAUAGAUGAGCCUAAGGCGGAUUAGCUAGUUGGUGGGGUAAAGGCCUACCAAGGCGACGAUCUGUAGCGGGUCUGAGAGGAUGAUCCGCCACACUGGGACUGAGACACGGCCCAGACUCCUACGGGAGGCAGCAGUGGGGAAUAUUGGACAAUGGGGGGAACCCUGAUCCAGCCAUGCCGCGUGUGUGAAGAAGGCCUUAUGGUUGUAAAGCACUUUAAGCGAGGAGGAGGCUACUGAGACUAAUACUCUUGGAUAGUGGACGUUACUCGCAGAAUAAGCACCGGCUAACUCUGUGCCAGCCGCCGCGGUAA